Molecule: ribosomal RNA, 432 nt
Filed under: uncultured bacterium
Lineage: Bacteria
Description: partial 16S ribosomal RNA
Rfam family: Bacterial small subunit ribosomal RNA
Source: RNAcentral
AACGAACGCUGGCGGCAUGCCUAACACAUGCAAGUCGAACGAAGGCUUCGGCCUUAGUGGCGCACGGGUGCGUAACGCGUGGGAAUCUGCCCUUGGGUUCGGAAUAACGUCGGGAAACUGACGCUAAUACCGGAUGAUGACGUAAGUCCAAAGAUUUAUCGCCCAAGGAUGAGCCCGCGUCGGAUUAGCUAGUUGGUGAGGUAAAAGCUCACCAAGGCGACGAUCCGUAGCUGGUCUGAGAGGAUGAUCAGCCACACUGGGACUGAGACACGGCCCAGACUCCUACGGGAGGCAGCAGUGGAGAAUAUUGGACAAUGGGCGAAAGCCUGAUCCAGCAAUGCCGCGUGAGUGAUGAAGGCCUUAGGGUUGUAAAGCUCUUUACCCGGGAUGAUAAUGACCGUACCGGGAGAAUAAGCUCCGGCUAACUCCGUG